UGGGGAAUUUUGCACAAUGGGCGCAAGCCUGAUGCAGCGACGCCGCGUGAGGGAUGAAGGCCUUCGGGUUGUAAACCUUUUUCGCUCAUGGUCAAGCCGCAGCUUUGGGUUGUGGUGAGGGUAGUGGGUAAAGAAGCGCCGGCUAACUACGUGCCAGCAGCCGCGGUAAUACGUAGGGCGCGGGCGUUGUCCGGAAUUAUUGGGCGUAAAGGGCUUGUAGGCGGUUGGCCGCGUCUGCCGUGAAAUCCUCUGGCUUAACUGGGGGCGUGCGGUGGGUACGGGUUGACUUGAGUGCGGUAGGGGAGAGUGGAAUUCCUGGUGUGGCGGUGGAAUGCGCAGAUAUCAGGGGGAACACCGGUGGCGAAGGCGGGUCUCUGGGCCGUUACUGACGCUGAGGAGCGAAAGCGUGGGGAGCGAACAGG
Molecule: ribosomal RNA, 422 nt
Filed under: Verrucomicrobiota bacterium
Lineage: Bacteria; Pseudomonadati; Verrucomicrobiota
Description: Verrucomicrobia bacterium partial 16S ribosomal RNA
Rfam family: Bacterial small subunit ribosomal RNA
Source: RNAcentral